Molecule: long non-coding RNA, 887 nt
Filed under: Marmota monax (woodchuck)
Lineage: Eukaryota; Metazoa; Chordata; Mammalia; Rodentia; Sciuridae
Source: RNAcentral
CCAGGGUGCUUUUUCACUGAGCCACAUUCCCAGUCCUUUUUGUUUUUAUUUUGAGACAGGGACUUGCUAAGUUGUUGAGAAACUCACUUAGUUGCUAAGGCUUGCCUAGAACUUACAGUCCUCUUGCCUCAGCCACCUCAGUUACUUGGAUUACCAGCUUACACUGCUGUACUCAUUAUCUGGAAUUCAUUAGAAAUAAAGAAUUUUAGGAAACAUCCCAGACUAGAUUAAUCAGUCCUGUGUUAUAACAAGAUCCCUACAUGGCUUGACACACACUUAAAAUUUGAGAUAUAUAUAUAUAUCAAUAAAAUGAGAAGAUAGAGUUAAACAAAAAGAAAAUGAAGCAUGGUCAAAAUACCAUCCAGCUUCCAGAUGUGGUGGCAUAUGCCUGUAAUCCCAGCAAUUGGGGAGGCUGAGGCAGAAGAAUGGCAAGUUCAAAGCCAAAUGUAGAGGGCUGGGGUUGUGGCUCAGUGGUAGAGCACUUGCAUAGUAUGUGUGAUGCCCUGGGGUCUACUCUCAGCACUGCAUGCAAAUAAAAUAAAGGUCUAUUGAUAACUAAAAAUAUAUUAAAAGGGGGGAAAAAGCCAGAUUCAGCAAUUUAGUGAGGCCCCUGAGUUCAAUUCCUGGUACCAAAACAAAACAAACAAAAAAACACCCAAAUAGUGACAGGCCCAGUUAGCAUUUGGCAUUUACUUCCAAACAUGGGAUCUUACUGAACAUCAUUUUGUAACCUACUCCUCUAAUGCAUUGCUAAUAUAUUACUGUGUCAACAAAUAUGUUUCAACAUAAAUUUAGAUGACUAAUUUGUAUUAUCAGUGAGUGUAUUCUGAUUUAAUCAUUACUCUCUAAUGGUCUUUCAAUUAAUUUUUAUUUCUUUACUUUAAUAA